RNAcentral lists this long non-coding RNA (278 nucleotides) under Vigna radiata. RNAcentral's name for it is "long non-coding RNA (VRAD_LNC006397)". The record is from RNAcentral. Lineage: Eukaryota; Viridiplantae; Streptophyta; Magnoliopsida; Fabales; Fabaceae.
GUGAAGAAAUGGGGAGUACUAGGAAAAUGCUAGUUAAGAUACAAAAAUCAGUGUUCAUUGUUCAAAAGUGGAUGAAGGUGUUGAUAUUGUUGGUUUGUGUUUUAUGUGUCAUAUAGAUGAUUUUAGUUUCAAUGUUGAUGAGAAUGGGAUGAAAAUGUAUGAGAUGAGAAGAGAUGUAUUGAUAAGAGUGAAUGAAAAUUGUUCUCUUUAAUCUGAAAACUUUGUUGAAUGAGAAUUUGUCUUUUCGCCAAAUAUACAGCAUGUGAAUGAAAUAUACA